Molecule: long non-coding RNA, 509 nt
Organism: Malaclemys terrapin pileata
Lineage: Eukaryota; Metazoa; Chordata; Testudines; Emydidae
Exons: 2
Source: RefSeq, a predicted model, not a curated record
CUGUGCUGGCUUGACUCUAGCUAGCUUGCUGGCUGUCCCAGUGAAGGGGAAGGGCUCCGGGGGGGGCUGGUACAGCCUGUGCUCUACCUACGUACUGCUGUCGGUAGCUGGGCGGGCUAGGUUACAGCUAGCACAGGUAUUCCCAGGCUGCAGUCACACCUCCCAGUGCAGUGUAGACAUGCUCUGAGACACCGCUUCCCUUUCCCUGAGACUGACGUAGGUGAGGUUGGGGAAGUGCUGGAGCCCCCUUUUAUUAAAAAAAGGGGGGCUGGGAGUAAGGCAAGGAUGCAGCUCUCUCUCCUGGGGCUGGAAUCUGAGGACCUUCAGGCCACACUACAAAGUUCAUCUGUGCACACCUGGGGGAGGUGUUUGUGGUGGGAAGGUCCUCCGCAGUAUUUUGCACCUCCCUUGGGUGCCAGAAGAUUGGAGCCAAAAUGCUAGCCAGGUAACUACAGGCUUCAUAGUCCUUAGCCACUGCAGUAAAGUUCAAUAAAAUGAGUAAACGUUGA